UACAGAGGGUGCGAGCGUUAAUCGGAAUGACUGGGCGUAAAGGGUGCGUAGGUGGUUUGAUAAGUUGGUUGUGAAAGUCCUGGGCUCAACCUGGGGAUUGCGAACAAUACUGUCGAGCUAGAGUACUGUAGAGGGGAGUGGAAUUUCCAGUGUAGCGGUGAAAUGCGUAGAUAUUGGAAGGAACACCAAUGGCGAAGGCAACUCCCUGGAUAGCUACUGACACUGAGGCACGAAAGCAUGGGGAGCAAACAGG
RNAcentral lists this ribosomal RNA (253 nucleotides) under uncultured bacterium. RNAcentral describes it as "partial 16S ribosomal RNA". It matches the Rfam family "Bacterial small subunit ribosomal RNA", at positions 524 to 776 of the family's 1533-position model. The record is from RNAcentral.